RNAcentral lists this long non-coding RNA (1041 nucleotides) under Homo sapiens (human). RNAcentral's name for it is "HSALNT0344564". Lineage: Eukaryota; Metazoa; Chordata; Mammalia; Primates; Hominidae. The record is from RNAcentral.
CUUUACUACUGCCCUUUGUUUUUUUGUGUGGAUUUGAAAAUCGUAUGAGUUCACUUGUUUUCAGCCUGAAGAAUUCCUUUAAUAUCUCAUAAAGCAGUUCAGCUAGCAAGAAAUUCUCUCCGUUUUUGCUUAUCUUGAAAUUUCUUUAUUUCACCUUCAUGUCUGACAGAUGGCCUUGCUGGAUAUAGGAUUGUGGAUUAAUAGUUUCUUCCUCUGAGCACUUUGAAUAUGUUAUCCCACUGCCUUCUGGCCUCCAUCCUUUUACAGACAGAUCAAGUGUUAAUCCUACUGGGUUCCCUUCUUUGAGGCGAGCCAUUUUAUUCUGUUCCUUUCAAGGUUUCUCCUUGUCUUUGUCUUGAACAUUUUGAUUCUGGUGUGUCUAGGUGUGUGUGUCCAGGUGUGUGUGUCCAGGUGUGUGUGUCCAGGUGUGUGUGUCUACGUGUGUGUGUCCAGGUGUGUGUGUCCAGGUGUGUGUGUCUAGGUGUGUGUGUCCAGGUGUGUGUGUCUAGGUGUGUGUGUCUAGGUGUGUGUGUCCAGGUGUGUUUGUCUAGGUGUUUGCGUCCAGGUGUGUGCAUCCAGGUGUGUACGUCUAGGUGUGUGUGUCCAGGUGUGUGUGUCUAGGUGUUUGUGUCCAGGUGUGUGUGUCUAGGUGUGUUUGUCUAGGUGUGUGCGUCCAGGUGUGUGCGUCUAGGUGUGUGUGUCCAGGUGUGUGUGUCUAGGUGUUUGUGUCCAGGUGUGUGUGUCUAGGUGUGUGUGGCCAGGUGUGUGUGUCUAGGUGUGUCUCUUUGUGUAGAGUUUUUUGGGCUCCUUGAAUGUGUAGGUUAACAUUUUUCAGCAAAUUUGGGAGCUUUUCAGCUAUUAUUUCUUGGACAUUUUUUCUGCUUGGAACUUUUUUUCUGCUUCUUUCUCUCUCACAUCUCCUCUGGUACUCUCAUUAAGGGUGUCCCACGCUUCUAUUCAUUUUUCUUAAUUAUUUUUCCCUCUCUGUUUUUCAGGUUGUAUAAUCUCUAUUGACAUAACUUCAAGUCUGCUGGUUCUUUC